AUCACCACUUUAUUUUAAGAAUGUGAAAUGUCAGAAUAAUAUUAGAAAGUGUCACGUUCGUCGAAAGGUACGGACCAAGGCGCGUAGAGUUCCAAAUACUUUAUUACAAAGUGAAACUUCACAAAACCAACAAAGAAUAAACAAACAUCCAGUACAGCGCGCACUUAGACACUAACUGAAAACAAUAUCCCACAAUGCAGGAGGGGGCAAUUGACAACUUAAAUAUGAUCCCCAAUUAGAGACAACAAAAAUCACCUGCCUCUAAUUGAGAACCAUACUAAAACACCCACAUAGAAAUAUAACGAGUAGAACACCCCCGAGUCACGCCCUGACCUAAAGCACGUGACAGAGAGAAUGAUUUAUUUCAGCUUUUAUUUCUUUCAUCACAUUCCCAGUGGGUCAGAAGUUUACAUACACUCAAUUAGUAUUUGGUAGCAUUGCCUUUAAAUUAUUUAACUUGCGUCAAACGUUUUGGGUAGCCUUCCACAAGCCUCCCACAAUAAGUUGGAUGAAAUUUGUCCCAUUCCUCCUGACAGAGCAAGGCCUCCUUGCUCGCACACACUUUUUCAGUUCUGCCCACACAUUUUCAAUGGGAUUGAGGUCAGGGCUUUGUGAAGGCCACUCCAAUACCUUGACUUUGUUUUCCUUAAGCCAUUUUGCCGGAACUUUGAAAGUAUGCUUUGGGGUCAUUUGCGACCAAGCUUUAACUUCCUGACUGAUGUCUUGAGAUGUUGCUUCCAGUUAUCACAUAAUUGUCCUCCCUCAUGAUGCCAUCUAUUUUGUGAAGUGCACUAGUCCCUCCUGCAGCAAAGCACCCCCACAACAUGAUGCUGCCACCCCCGUGCUUCAAGGUUGGGAUGGUGUUCUUCAGCUUGCAAGCCUCCCCCUUUUUACUCCAAACAUAACUAUGGUCAUUAUGGCCAAACAGUUAUUUUUGUUUCAUCAGACCAGAGGACAUUUCUCCGAAAAGUACGAUCUUUAUCCCAUGUGCAGUUGCAAACCGUAUUCUGGCAUUUUUAUGGCAGUUUUGGAGCAGUGGCUUCUUCCUUGCUGAGUGGCCUUUCAGGUUAUGUCAAUAUAGGACUUGUUUUCCUGUGGAUAUAGAUACUUUUGUACCUGUUUCCUCCAGCAUCUUUACAAUGUCCUUUGCUGUUGUUCUGGGAUUGAUUUGCACUUUUUGCACCACAGUACGUUCAUCUCUAGGAGACAGAACGCGUCUCCUUCCUGAGCGGUAUGACGGCUGCGUGGUCCCAUGGUGUUUAUACUUGUGUACUAUUGUUUGUGCAGAUGAACAUGGUACCUUCAGAUGUUUGGAAAUUGCUCCCAAGGAUGAACCAGACUUGUGGAAGUCUACAAUAUUUUUUCUGAGGUCUUUUUUUUCUGAGGCUGAUUUCUUUUGAUUUUCCCACAAUGUCAAGCAAAGAGGCAGUGAGUUUGAAGGUAGGCCUUGAAAUACAUCCACAGGCACACCUCCAAUUGACUCAAAUUAUGCCAAUUAGCCUAUCAGAAGUUUCUAAAGCCAUGACAUAAUUUUAUGGAAUUUUCCAAGCUGUUUAAAGGCACAGUCAAUUAAGUGUAUGUACACUUCUGACCCACUGGAAUUGUGAUACAGUGAAAUAAUCUGUCUGUAAACAAUUGUUGGAAAAAUGACUUGUGUCAUGCAAAAAGUAGAUGUCCCAACCGACUUGCCAAAACUAUAGUUUGUUAACUGCCUUGCUCUGGGGCGGAACGACAGAUUUUUACCUUGUCAGCUCGGGGAUUCGUUUUUGCAACCUCAACAUUAAACUCUAAUUUCAUUCAAACAACAGGACACCACUCAUUCUAAGCCUCCAGUCUGAAGUGUCCUAACCAUUGAACUUGUCUGUUUCUCUCUGCAUUAAAGUUGGAUCAAGUGAGCUGUGACCUGCUUAGAGAGAAUGCUCCUAUUGAGCCUGUGCCACCUGGAAAUCUGACUGUGUUGAGUGAUGGCUGUGCUUAAUCCCGGAGAUAGAUGCAAUUACCCACUUCACCUUUUUCUUUAUCAUGAAGAUGGAAGGCUACCUCGAUCCGUCGCUACAUCCACCGUGCAGACAGCAAGCAGAGGACAGAUGCUCUGCAGUUUCCCCCAGAAGGUUGGCGGCGGCUGGGCCUGAAUAACGGCAGCAUCACCUGGAUCACCGAGUGGCAGGGUGGGACUGAGGACGGGCGACUCGGGCUUUAUGCCUCCUGAAAAACUUACUGACACUCCACCACUAUUGGCUGACCCCAUGUAACCUGACCUUCUGCUGCCACAUCAUUUGAAGCAAACAUUUCUCCUCGACAAGAUUGAUUCCCAACGUGGGCAAAACUUUCUUUUGAC
Long non-coding RNA from Oncorhynchus keta (chum salmon), 2338 nucleotides. RefSeq lists it as uncharacterized. The transcript has 3 exons. The record is from RefSeq and is a predicted model, not a curated record. NCBI's taxonomy places the organism in Eukaryota, Metazoa, Chordata, Actinopteri, Salmoniformes, Salmonidae.